UCCAAACAGGGGAGAAUUGACUUUACUGAGAGACCAGAUGUUUAAACUGAUUUUAUACUACCCAUUCCUUUAAGGCUAGGAGGGGCCGGAAGUCUCACAGGAACAGCUCACAUCCUGCUGCUCUGGAUAAAUAAGAUAAGAACAUAAGAACAGCCAUACUGGGUCAGACCAAAGGUCCAUCUAGCCCAGCAUC
Molecule: long non-coding RNA, 193 nt
Filed under: Chrysemys picta bellii (western painted turtle)
Lineage: Eukaryota; Metazoa; Chordata; Testudines; Emydidae
Description: lncRNA (ENSCPBG00000028417.1)
Source: RNAcentral